This 82-nucleotide transfer RNA is filed under the name Ipomoea nil (Japanese morning glory). It matches the Rfam family "tRNA". From Rfam's summary of the family: Transfer RNA (tRNA) molecules are approximately 80 nucleotides in length. Their secondary structure includes four short double-helical elements and three loops (D, anti-codon, and T loops). Lineage: Eukaryota; Viridiplantae; Streptophyta; Magnoliopsida; Solanales; Convolvulaceae. The record is from Rfam by way of RNAcentral.
GUUGCUUUGGCCGAGUGAUUAAGGCGUGUGCCUACUAAGUACAUGGGCUUUCCCCGCGAGAGUUUGAAUCUCUUUGGCAAUG